RNAcentral lists this ribosomal RNA (246 nucleotides) under uncultured bacterium. Its description in RNAcentral is "partial small subunit ribosomal RNA". It matches the Rfam family "Bacterial small subunit ribosomal RNA", at positions 26 to 285 of the family's 1533-position model. The record is from RNAcentral.
AGAAUCAACGCUGGCGGCGUGCCUAACACAUGCAAGUCGAACGAGAAAGUGGAGCAAUCCAUGAGUAAAGUGGCGCACGGGUGAGUAACACGUGACUAACCUACCCAUAAGUGGGGGAUAACCUCGGGAAACCGUGGCUAAUACCGCAUAAUACCCACGGGUCAAAGCAGCAAUGCGCUUGGAGAGGAGUUCGCGGCAGAUUAGUUAGUUGGCGGGGUAAUGGCCCACCAAUACGAUGAGUCUGUA